RNAcentral lists this ribosomal RNA (468 nucleotides) under uncultured bacterium. RNAcentral describes it as "partial 16S ribosomal RNA". It matches the Rfam family "Bacterial small subunit ribosomal RNA", at positions 28 to 507 of the family's 1533-position model. The record is from RNAcentral.
GACGAACGCUGGCGGCGUGCUUAACACAUGCAAGUCGAACGGAAAGGCCCUGCUUUUGUGGGUUGCUCGAUUGCCGAACGGGUGAGUAACACGUGAGUAACCUGCCCUUGACUUUGGGAUAACUUCAGGAAACUGGGGCUAUUACCGGAUAGAAGCUCCUGCUGCAUGUUGGGGGUUGGAAAGUUUCGGCGGUUGGGGAUGGACUCGCGGCUUAUCAGCUUGUUGGUGGGGUAGUGGCUUACCAAGGCUUUGACGGGUAGCCGGCCUGAGAGGGUGACCGGCCACAUUGGGACUGAGAUACGGCCCAGACUCCUACGGGAGGCAGCAGUGGGGAAUAUUGCACAAUGGGCGGAAGCCUGAUGCAGCAACGCCGCGUGCGGGAUGACGGCCUUCGGGUUGUAAACCGCUUUCGCCUGUGACGAAGCGUGAGUGACGGUAAUGGGUAAAGAAGCACCGGCUAACUACGUG